This 453-nucleotide long non-coding RNA is filed under the name Eutrema salsugineum. Its description in RNAcentral is "long non-coding RNA (ESAL_LNC000735)". The record is from RNAcentral. Lineage: Eukaryota; Viridiplantae; Streptophyta; Magnoliopsida; Brassicales; Brassicaceae.
CAACGAGCAAGGACCGCAGAAGAAGAAGACGCCGUCGGUUGCGGCGGCGGCGGUUUCGUUGGGAAGGAAGUGUCAACACUGUGGAGCGGAGAAGACGCCGCAAUGGAGGGCGGGACCGUCGGGACCGAAGACGCUGUGUAACGCGUGUGGCGUGAGGUACAAGUCAGGGAGGCUUGUUCCGGAGUAUCGGCCGGCGAAUAGUCCGACUUUCUCGGCGGAGUUACAUUCGAAUUCUCACCGGAAGAUUGUAGAGAUGAGGAAGCAGUUUCAGUCCGGUGAUGUUGUUGUUGAUCGGAAAGAUUGUGGAUAAAAAAAAAGUUGUUAGGAUAAAUUUUUUCUCUCUUUUUUUUUUUGAGAAACUUUUUUUUCAAUUACGUUAAUUUCUCUUUUUAAGUUUGUUUUAGGGUUUUGCAGUUGAAAUUUAGGUUUUUUUGUUUACUUUUUUAUUUGUGA